RNAcentral lists this long non-coding RNA (241 nucleotides) under Sus scrofa (pig). RNAcentral's name for it is "lncRNA (ENSSSCG00055020863.1)". Lineage: Eukaryota; Metazoa; Chordata; Mammalia; Artiodactyla; Suidae. The record is from RNAcentral.
GUUGGUUUUCAUCGUCUCAGUCACAUCAGGAUAGGAAUCAGUGCCAUAGUGGGAUCAGCUUCUGCCAGGUCUCCAUAGAGCAUGAAAGCAACACAUGAGGCUUCCUCUUGUUUCCGUGUUUCUUCCGAUCUGUUCAAAGGUUAAAUAAAGUCAGGAGAAUAUUCACGUGCAAAAUGAGCCAGCCUGGGAUGCCAGGACCCAGGGAGUAGGUGGCAUAGAUGUUCUGUGAGAUGGCUUGAGA